GUCAGGCAUGGUGGUGCAUGCCUGUAAUCCCAGUGACUCAGGAGGCUGAUACAGGAGGACUGCAAAUUCAAGGCCAGUCUCAGCAACUUAGUGAGGCCUUGAGCAACCUAGUGAGACCCUUUCUCAA
Molecule: small RNA, 127 nt
Filed under: Marmota monax (woodchuck)
Lineage: Eukaryota; Metazoa; Chordata; Mammalia; Rodentia; Sciuridae
Source: RNAcentral